RNAcentral lists this long non-coding RNA (8314 nucleotides) under Ananas comosus (pineapple). Its description in RNAcentral is "long non-coding RNA (ACOM_LNC028059)". The record is from RNAcentral. Lineage: Eukaryota; Viridiplantae; Streptophyta; Magnoliopsida; Poales; Bromeliaceae.
ACAAUGACAUUCUUUUGACUCUAAAGUAGAGAACCAUGACAUGCUUUGGGACUAUGUUGGUAGUGCCAUGAUAGUGAAAAGAUUCUAAUGCCAGGUGUAAAUUAGCAUUACUCUUGCAUGCUUACUAAACUAGUGGAUUCUAGUUGUUGUUAAUAUUUGUUAUAUUGAAAUUCCGAUCGAGGAUCGAGACUGAGAAUAUUGCAAAUGAAAAUAUGAUAAUUGAGACAUGUGGACAGUGGAAUAUGCUUGCUUGCCAUCGUGCUCAUUCGCACACGCUUGUGAGGGUCGCUCCCUACAAGCCGGCACUCCGGAGUUGGCCUACGCGACAGUUGCUCGCCCGUGCGGGAUUGGGUGCCGAAGUGGAUUGUCGUGGGGAGUGUAUACUACCACGGGGCCAUUAGGUGCGGCACAAGCCGGACUAUCUUGAGUAGAUCCCUAUGAAUGAAAGAAAAGUGCUAAAGGAAAUGGAACAGUAAUGAAUGAUUACCAGUUACAGUGUACAGUAGUUACUUACAUAUUUAUGCUUAUGUUCAUACUUAUAGUAGUUGUUAUGCUUCUAUUAUUCAGUUGAUUCAUUACUGUUGAGACUAUGAUUACAUGUGCUUACAUGCUCAUUACUUGUUAGCAUUGCAUAAGUAUAUAAAUCAUGCAAUUACUACUUUUGCUUCAUUCAGUACAUCAUGAGCCUAGUGGUGUAAUUCGCCGAGGCUGGCGGCUGACCCACUGGAAACUAUUGUUUAUAGUUCUCACGCCCUUUUGGUGGUUGUUUUUUUUACAGAGCCGUCUACAGGAGAGGCUAGGGAUCGUGGCAAGGGAGUCACGUCUAGCUAGACAUUGCUAGAAGCAUGCUAGUCGAUCACCUUGCUACUCGGGCUACGGCCGAGGGUGAUGUCCCUAUGUAUAGAGAGACCACCAUUGUAUCUAUUCUUUUGUAUACCUCGUGAUGUAUAUGUACUUUGUGGACAGUCACUACGGUUUUGAUACUUUCUCUUUUAGUCGAGAUUUUGGAUUGUACACUCUUUGUUCUUUUGCCGAUAGUAUAUCGACUUGUACUUUGCUCUGAUAUCAUGAUAGGAUUUUUACUAUGUUUCUUCCUAUCGACUUGUUUCUUGUAGACGCCUUAUAUACUGCAGGUGUAUGGCGGGUCUGUACCAUACCGGAUAUGCUUCCGCUGGUAUCCGGGCAUGACAAUUGUUUGGAUUACAUGCUCACAAGCAGCGUCAUAAUGCAAUCUGCGCGUAAGUUGUUGGACAGAUUGACUAAAUCUGCCACUUUAUUCCAAUACAUGGCGGUAUAUUGGUCGGGGGACGAGAGAAACUCGCACAAGUGUAUCUUGAUGAAAUUGUGCGCGCUUACGGUCAGCUACCUGCUUCUUUGUUUCAAAUCAAGGACACCGAUUCGUUUACAUUUCUCGGAGAAGUUUACAGCGAGCCAUGGGUACCGUUUGAUUUUAGUACUGCUUUUCACUCCAGAGUGAUGGGCAGUCUGAGCUAACCAUCCAGACCCUUGAGGAUUAUGUUGAGGGCCUGCUUGUGAUUGAUUACCAGAAGAGUGGCCACGAGUUCCUACGUGGCCGAUUUGCUUAUACAGUACGUUAUCAGCAAGCAUUCAGAUGCACCUUUUGAAGACCCACUAUGGUAGAAAGUGCAGAUGCACAUCAUUGCGAGCGAAGGGGAGAAAGCAUUAGUUUUGGGUCAGAUAUACUGCCCAAAAGCUGAAGCUAAAGUUCGAUGGCCGAAACGUUUCUGACCGCUCAAAAGUCGACAAAGGAGCUAUGCGGAUAAACGGUCGGCGAGGAACUGGAAUUUCAAGUUCGGUGAUAUAUUAUUCCUGAAAUUUCACCGAUCAAGGGGGUUAAGGAUUUGGUGUUCCGAGAGUUGAGUCUCGAUUUAUUGGACCCUAGGAGUAUUUGGACACGGAAUAAGCGUCCCGUAGGUAUCGGCCUUGCGCUUGCCACCGAACCCUAUCUGGCGAAGCGCAAUAUUGUAUUCAUGUCAUCUACACUACGGAAGUUCAUGUUUUUUAUCCGACCCACCAUAUUCUAGAAGCUACUCAAAUAGAUUUACAAGAAGCAUUUGAGCUUUGAAGCAGAUGCAGUGAGGAUACUAGCGUCGAGAAGUGUUGAAACGGCUUUCGAAAAUCGCGCACGAUACCAUACGCUGACGAUACUUUUGGAGCAAUCACGAUGAACGGGAAGCCCACUUUGGGCACUGGAAAGUGCGAUGCACAGCACUACCCCUAUCUGUUUCAUCGACAGAUCUUGAGGUAAUGAUUACAGGUUUUCGCGGACGGAAACUUCUUUUUUAGGAGGAGCUGAAUUGAUACACACGAACUUUGCAAAUUGCAGAAUUCGAGUGUGUGGACGCAAGGGGAACUAUCCUACAUAUUCUAAAGGCUUGGACAAAGUUUUUGGACAAUGUAUAGAGGGUGAUUGGAAAGCCUAAAAAUAAGAAAGUGCAUUGAUCCUGUGCGAAAUCAGUGUUUUCUGCUUGCUGUUUACCGGGACAGGCCAUUUACUAUGACCGUACAGACUGCCAGAAACAGGCAGUAAGGGUCUUUUGGUCAUUUCCGAUCUUGAUCCUAUUAUUUGACCCAGGCACGACUCUUGGGCAGCUACGUAAAGGUUGCUGGAGGCUCAGGGAAGUGUUCUUCACCUUUGCUCUCUCUCUCUACUUAAGGUUUUCUCUCUUUACAAAGAACUUCGACGAUUUCGCUCAGUUUAGUCUGCCUCACUUUGAUCUUCUGCUGGCGGGUGUCACAGAGACUCACGGUGGACGGUGUCGGAGGAGUUUUUGGAGAGCCUUCGCGCCAGCUCUGAAACCAGUGAGGGCCAGGUUGGAAGCUUGGAUAUAAACGACUUGAUUUUCUCAUUAUCAACGUUCUAUUAGUCGAUUAUGGUGUUGCUUUUGAGAGUUUUUGCUAUCCAAUGACUUAAAUGAGAUUUAGUUUUAAAGAUGAAGCUAAUUAGAUGUGAGACUAAACCUUCUUAGACCAGGGGGUAAGCUACUGUUUAAGCUUAAUUGUGAAUAUAUUAGCCAUUUAUGAAGCUAAAUCGGCAAGGAAAUGCAAUUUGUGUGAGAUUGGGGCAUUCAUUUCUUUCGAGCAGGUCUUUGAAGCUUUGUUGAGCUGAACUUUACUUUUAGGAAGCUGGUUGGAAGCUGCUCUAACCAACGGGUAAGCAGGAAUUUUUCUGUUAGAAUUCAAUUUCGCCCAGAAUUGAACCAUUAUAAGCUUCAGUAUACAAGAUUUUGACGCCGUUUUCAGUAUUGUCGCAGCGAGAGGAUAUUUGACCUUUGGCGCCGCCUUCGGUUUGCGCAUUGGAGGCCUUCUGGAGCUGAACCGUGACGGUAAUAAACUGAAGCCAAAAACAGGGAAUUAUGCUUCCCUUGGACACGGUAUGGACAUUAUGAAUUUACAGUUAUGCCAUUUGGAUUAACAAAUGCCCCAGCAGCCUUUAUGGAUUUAAUGAACCAUGUCUUUAAGCCUUAUCUGGACAGGUUUGUGGUCGUGUUCAUCGACGAUAUUUUGAUAUAUUCUCGAAGUGAUGAGGAGCAUGAAAACCAUCUAAAAGUAGUGUUACAAGUACUUCGAGAAAAGAAACUAUUUGCAAAAUUAAAGAAAUGUGAAUUUUGGCUUCGAGAAGUAGCAUUUCUGGGUCAUGUCAUUUCAGAGGCUGGGAUAGCUGUGGAUCCAAAGAAGAUUGAAGCGAUUAAAGACUGGCCUAGGCCGACCAGUGUCACAGAAAUUCGGAGUUUCCUUGGUUUGGCAGGAUACUACCGAAGAUUUGUGGAAGGAUUUGCGAAGAUGUCUACUCCUCUUACUCGACUGACGCAUAAAGGAGCUAAGUUUCUGUGGAACGAAACCUGUGAAAGAAGCUUUCAAGAGCUUAAGGAACGGUUGACUACCGCCCCGAUUCUAGCACUGCCUGUUACUGGAAUGGAUUAUGUGAUUUACAGUGAUGCGUCGCUGAACGGAUUAGGAUGCGUUCUUAUGCAGAGUGGCCGAGUAAUUGCUUACACAUCUCGUCAAUUAAAGGAUUAUGAAAAGAACUACCCUACACAUGAUCUAGAGCUGGCAGCAGUUGUUUUUGCCUUGAAACUCUGGCGUCAUUACCUCUAUGGUGAACGUUGCGAAGUUUACACGGAUCAUAAAAGCUUAAAGUAUCUAUUUACUCAGAAAGAAUUAAACUUGAGAUAACGUAGAUGGUUGGAGUUGCUCAAGGAUUAUGAUUCGACCAUCCUCUAUCAUCCAGGAAAAGCUAAUGUCGUAGCAGAUGCUUUAAGUCGAAAAUCGACGAAAAAUUUGGCGAUGGCGAUAACUAUGCAACCACUGUUGGUAAAGUCAAUGGAGCAGUUGAAAUUGAAAGUUGUAGCUCCUAACACGCCUCGGAGACUUAUGUCACUAGUGGUGCAACCUACCCUGAUCGAUCGAAUUAAAGAAAAGCAAGCUCAAGAUGAGUCCCUGCAAAAGAUUCGAGCAAAGAUCAGUGUUGAUCCAAUUGGCGAUUUUCGAGUGGAUGAUCAGGGAUUGCUAAAAUUCGGUGAUAGAAUUUGUGUGCCUGCCGAUCCAGAUACUAAAGAGGAGAUUUUAAAGGAAGCACAUCGGGCACCGUAUACUUUACACCCUGGGAGUACAAAAAUGUAUAAAGAUCUGAAGUUAACUUACUGGUGGCCUGGAAUGAAAAAGAAAGUUCCUGAUUUUGUGGCCAGAUGCUUAACCUGUCAGCAGGUUAAGGCUGAACCUCGACUUCCUGCGGGAAAACUUCAAAGCUUACCCAUACCAGUGUGGAAGUGGGAGAGGAUUACUAUGGAUUGUCAUUGGUGGAUCGUAUUCGGCUCACAAGCGCGGUAUGACCGCAUGCUAAUCUGGUAGGAAUUGUGGAUCAGAUUGGACCUAAAGUUGCCCACUUGGUGGAUUCGAAUACAUCGGUUUGGUCGGGGGGGAGCUCGCACAGGUGUUAUCUUGAUGAAGGUUGUCGAUUACAUCGGAGUACCUGUUCUAUGUUUCAUCAGAACCCGAUAUUAAUCUUCUGGAGAGUUUCAGGGGAGGGCGACUGGGUACCCGUUGAUUUUGAGUACUGCUUUUCACCCCAGAGUGAUGGGCACGUCUGAGCGUACCCUCCAGACCUUGAGGAUAUGUUGGGGCUGUGUGACUUGUUACAGAGCAGUUGGCCACAGUUGCGUACAAUGGCUGAAUUGUGCUUAUAACAAUAGUUAUCAGUAAGCAUUCAUGGCCUUUUGAAGCCUUUAUGGUUAGAAAAGUGAGAUACAUUCAUUGGGCGAAGGUGGGAGACGAUUAGUUUUUGGGUCCAGAUAUACUGAAGAGAGCUGAGUAAAGUUCGAGCUGGCACGGAAGAAGGUUUACUGACGCUCCAAAGUCGAACAAGAGCUAUGGGAUAAACGCUCGGCAGAUGGAAUUUCAAGUUGUGAUAUGUAUUCUAAGUUUCGACGUCAAAAGGGUUAAGAGAUUUGGUUUUCGGAGGGAGUUGGAGUCUCGAUUUAUCGAUGCCCUACGGGUAAUGGAGGAUAGUCGUAGCGUAUUCGGCUUGCUUUUGGCCGAAGCCUUAUCGGGGUUACAUAAUGUUUUCUGUAUUGACUACGGAGCAGUUGUUUUUGAUGCGACCCACAUGUUUGAAUGUACUCCAAUGAUUACAGAAGAUUUGGCGUUGAGGAGGCUCAGUGAGAUACUAGUCGAGAAGUGAAAGGUUUCGAAGAUCGCGGAUGAUACCAUACGUCAAGAUAUUUUUGAGCAAUGCACGAGUGACGGGGAAGCCACUUGGGAACUGGAAAGUGCGAUGCAAGAGCACUACCCCUAUCUUUUCUCGACAGAAUCUUGAGGUAAGUGAUUACAAGUUUCGCGGACGAAACUUCUUUUUAGGAGGGGUGAAUGUAACACACUGAACUUUUGCAAAUUGCAGAAUUCGAGUGUGUGGAACGCAAUGUGGAACUAUCCUACAUAUUCUAAAAGGCUUGGACAAGUUUUUGGACAAGUUAGAGGGUGAUUGGAAAGCUAAAAAUAAGAAAGUGCAUUGAUCUGGCGAAAUCAGUGUUUUCUGCUUGCUGUACCGGUACAGCCAUUACCUUGUACCGGUACAGACUGGCAGAAACAUGGCAGUAAGGGUCUUUUGGUCAUUUCACAUCUUGAUCCCUAUCUAUUUGACCCAGCACGACUCUGGGAGCUCAGUAAAGGUUGCUGGAGCUCAGGAGAGUGUUCUUCCACCUUCCUCUCUCUCUCUCUCUAAGGUUUUUCUCUCUCUACAAAGAAUUCGACGAUUUCGCUCGUUUUAGUCGCCUCACUUGAUCUUCGCUGGUUGCGGGUGUCACAGAGCUCACGUGGACGUGUGAGAGAGUAUUUUGGAGAGCCUUUCGCAGCUCUGAACCAGUGAGGUGCAGGUUGGAAGCUUGAGAAGAUAAACGACUUGAUUUUCUCCAUUAUCAACGUUCUAUUAGUCGAUUAUGUGUUGCUUUUGAAGUUUUUGCUUCCAACUGACUUAAACUGAGAUUUCAGCUUUUAAAGAUGAGCUAAUUAGAUGUGAACUAACCUUCUUAGACCAGGGAUAAGCUACUUUAAAGCUUAAUUGGAAUAAUUAGCCAUUUAUGAAGCUAAAUCGGAACGAAAUGCAAUUGUUUGAGCACUUGGGGAUUAUUUCUUCGCAGCAGGUCUUUGAGCUUUGUUGAGCUGAACUUAUACUCUUAGAAGCUGGUUUGGAAGCUGCUCUAACCAAGGGUAAGCAGGAAUUUUCGUUAGAAAUUCAAUUUCGCAAGAAUUGAACCAUAUAAGCUCAUAUACAAGCAUUUUGACGCCGUUUCGGUAUUGUUCGCAGCGAGAGGAUAUUUGACCUUUGGGCCGCCUUCGUUUGGCAUUGGAGGGCCUUCUGGAAGCUGAACGUGAGGUAAUAAACUGAGCCAAAACAGGGAAUUAAGCUUCCCCUUCGUAUUAAUUGAGAAUUUGCUGAAAUUGGAUUCUUAUGUAAUCACUUCGAUUUGCAGCAGGGCUGAGGCCUAGUGGAGCUGAAUUACGGACUUUUGGGGACUGAUUGGAGCCUAGUACUAGGUGGGUUUGACCUAACCAGAGCAAGUGAAGCUCCCCUAUAUUCUAUAUGUACCAUAGAGUUGGUAUAGUUAUGCGUGAUUGUGAGUAAUGUGAUUGGUAAAGUACGCGCAUCAUGUGGCCAUAAUGUUGAUCUAAUUGAAAUAGAAUCUCUAUAAAGUAGAGAAUCUUCAUGCACAAAAGUAUUCGUACUCCUGUCAGUUUAGUUGAGUAAUUAUGAGACAAGUUAUUAUGCUCAGGUAAAGUAGAGAACCAUGACAUUCUCUUUUUGCUUGCUUGAGUACAAAGUAGAAAACAAUGACAUUCUUUUGACCCUAAAGUAGAGAACCAUGACAUGCUUUGGGACUAUGUUGGUAGUGCCAUGAUAGUGAAAAGAUUCUAAUGCCAGGUGUAAAUUAGCAUUACUCUUGCAUGCUUACUAAACUAGUGGAUUCUAGUUGUUGUUAAUAUUUGUUAUAUUGAAAUUCCGAUCGAGGAUCGAGACUGAGAAUAUUGCAAAUGAAAAUAUGAUAAUUGAGACAUGUGGACAGUGGAAUAUGCUUGCUUGCCAUCGUGCUCAUUCGCACACGCUUGUGAGGGUCGCUCCCUACAAGCCGGCACUCCGGAGUUGGCCUACGCGACAGUUGCUCGCCCGUGCGGGAUUGGGUGCCGAAGUGGAUUGCCGUGGGGAGUGUAUACUACCACGGGGCCAUUAGGCGCGGCGCAAGCUGGACUACCUUGAGUAGAUCCCUGUGAAUGAAAGGAAAGUGCUAAAGGAAAUUGGACAGUAAUGAAUGAUUACCAGUUACAGUGUAUAGUAGUUACUUACACAUUUAUGCUUAUGUUCAUGCUUAUCAUAGUUGCUAUGCUUCUAUUAUUCAGUUGAUUCAUUACUGUUGAGACUAUGAUUACAUGUUGCUUACAUGCUCAUUACCUGUUAGCAUUGCAUAAUUAUAUAUCAUGCAAUUACUGCUUUCGCUUUCAUUUAGUACAUCAUGAGCCUAGUGGUGUAAUUCGCCGAGGCUGGCGGCUUACCCACUGGGAACUAUUGUUUAUAGUUCUCACGCCCUUUUGGUGGUUGUUUUUUUUACAGAGCCGUCUACAGGAGAGGCUAGGGAUCGUGGCAAGGGAGUCACGUCUAGCUAGACAUUGCUAGGAGCAUGCUAGUCGAUCACCUUGCUACUCGGGCUACGGCCGAGGGUGAUGUCCCUAUGUAUAGAGAGACCACCAUUGUACCUAUUCUUUUGUAUACCUCGUGAUGUAUAUGUACUUUGUGGACAGUCAC